RNAcentral lists this long non-coding RNA (1282 nucleotides) under Olea europaea (common olive). RNAcentral's name for it is "long non-coding RNA (OEUR_LNC010216)". Lineage: Eukaryota; Viridiplantae; Streptophyta; Magnoliopsida; Lamiales; Oleaceae. The record is from RNAcentral.
AGUUGCCUGCAUGUAAUGUGGUGUUUCAUCCGACACUUGGAGCGAAAAUUUUGCCGGAGGUGUUACUACAUCAUCGGACAUACCCAUAAAAAUCCAAUCACCGGCUCUUGAUCUAGCCCUUCUCCUGAAUGUUUUUAGAUUCCUAAAAUUUUUCAAAGUCUUCUUGUUAGUUCUGUUCUUGAUUCCGGUAUCCCAGUAUUUAACAGGCAGUCCAUUAACUUCCGAUCCACGAGUUGAAGAAGUCAAUGAAAGGGUUUCGUCACAUUCACUCCCAUACUGAUGACACACAUCAUAGAAAACACCAAAUCUUAGAUAUUGUCCAAAAGCUAGCAAUUCUGUCUCAAGCACUCAAAUCCCAAGUACAAAAGAGUAAAUAAGCACAAAAAUAUAUAAAAUCUUGAGAAUGCCCAGAAGGUGCUCUACUAUUAAACCAAUAAGAUAUAAACAAGUACUACUGUUUCAAGGAAUUAAUUUUUUUUUUUUUUCCUUCAGAUCAUCAUAGUUGUUAAAUACCCAGAAUCUAAAAUAAUGGAAUUAAUGCUUUAUAUACAUGAAAAUGGAAUCAAAAUCAAUUUCAAGAAGUUGAACUUACAGGAGAAUUUUCUUUCUUUCCAUCAGAAUCGGUCGUGGCCCUCGUGUAAUCUGGCGAUGAAUCACAAGACUCCAUUAAACUAGCUUUUGCUGCAGGCUUAAAUAAUUUAUAAAUCAAUCAGAAAUCUCUUCAAGAAAAUUCAACUGACAUCAAGGCCAAAUAAGAUUUUUACAGAAACAAGAAGAGGACAAAUAUUACAUUACCGAAAAAAAAACUACAAAAAAUUUUAGGAUAAUAUGACUGAAAAUGCUAUAGAUUCCAAAGUGGUUGGCGUUUGUUUUAAAAAUUUGAGCAGUAAACAGCAGCUUACGUUUGAAAAAUAGUUGUGUUUGAACUUGUACAAAUUGGUACGUUUGACUUAGCUACCAUUUCUUUCCGAGUUGACUCACUUUCUUUGUUCAAAGGAUUUUUAAUUGGGAAUGAACUUAAACAAAAUUAUUGGAUUUUUUCCAUUAAACUUCUGAAUUUGAAAUCAAAGUGGGAGCCCUGUCUUGUGAAAAGAACAUGUGGGACAGUUGUUCUAUAUCAGUAUAAUUGAAUAAAUGGUGUAGGUGAGAAAAUACAGAACUGUUCUUUCGCAAUUGUCUAAAUUCUAAACGCGUGGACCAAACUCUAAUUUCUUCCCAGCUGUUUCUCGUCAAUUACACCGCUGAAUGCGAUAGGAGAAAUUUGUGUUGGAAAGUUUAGGUU